CAUUAAGUGGCUGAAAUUAUAAGCAUUGGUCUCUUAAACCAAAUUAUAGUAUUUAAUAUAUACUCUUAAUG
This 71-nucleotide transfer RNA is filed under the name unidentified. RNAcentral's name for it is "Capodemus sinuatus tRNA-Lys". It matches the Rfam family "tRNA". From Rfam's summary of the family: Transfer RNA (tRNA) molecules are approximately 80 nucleotides in length. Their secondary structure includes four short double-helical elements and three loops (D, anti-codon, and T loops). The record is from RNAcentral.